Molecule: non-coding RNA, 1471 nt
Organism: Microcebus murinus (gray mouse lemur)
Lineage: Eukaryota; Metazoa; Chordata; Mammalia; Primates; Cheirogaleidae
Source: the annotation of a RefSeq genome assembly
UCUGAUUGGCUGGGCUGACUCUGUGUUUCCUGUAGAAAUGUUUGAACAUCUGAGAGACCAAAGUAGAUCCUUUAUCUUGUGAGGCAUUGUCAACAUUUCAGACACAAGAAUUCAGUUCUCAGCGAGUCGGAGUGACAGAAGGAAUGGAGAAACCCCUGGGCCUGCUUGUCCUUUGGCUGCAACUGGACUGGGUGAGCAGUAAACAGGAGGUGAUGCAGACUCCUGAAACCCUGAGUGUCCCAGAAGGAGAAAGCUUGGCUCUCAACUGCAGUUUCACUGACAGUGCUAUUUACUUCCUUCAGUGGUUUAGGCAGGACUCUGGAAAAGGUUUGACAUCUCUGUUGUUAAUUCAGUCAAAUCAGAGAGAGCAAACGAGUGGAAGAUUUAAAGCCUCAUUGGAUAAAUCAUCAAGACAAAGUACUUUAAACAUUGCAGCUUCUCAGCCUGGCGACUCAGCCACUUACCUGUGUGCUGCUGGAAGCAGCAGCUAUAAACUAACAUUUGGAAAAGGAACUCUCUUAACUGUGAAUCCAAAUAUCCAGGACCCUGACCCCGCCGUGUACCAGCUGAAAGACUCUAAAUUCGGGAACACCUCUAUCUGCCUAUUCACUGAUUUUGCUUCUGAAAAGAAUGAGUCCCAAGACAAGAAACCUGAAGUGUUCAUCUCAGGCAAAACUGUGCUGGACAUGAGCUCCAUGGAUUCCAAGAGCAAUGGUGCCUUGGCCUGGAGCAACAAAGCCGAUUUUGCAUGUACAGACGCCUUCAGGGAGGGCGAAGCCUACUCCAACUCAGCAUUUCCCUGUGAUGCCAAGUUGGUACAGAAAGGCUUUGAAACAGAUAUGAACCUAAACUUUCAAAACCUGUCAGUGAUUGGGCUCCGCAUCCUCCUCCUGAAAGUGGCCGGGUUUAACCUGCUCAUGACGCUGCGGCUGUGGUCCAGCUGAGGUCAGCAAGACCAUGAGAGCCCGUGCUCCCUCGCUCCGUGCUCCGCAUCGCCCUCCUCUCCCUCUUCCUACAGAGGGAGUGCUCCCACCCCACGAGGACAAGGCUCCCACCACCCCUCGGGCUCCCUGGCAAUGCCGUGGACAAGAUCCUGCCUGAAUUUGUGAUGAAGAUUGCCAAGGAGCUGCCAAACACUGCUGCCCUGUGCCCUGUCCCCUGUUGCUGCUUGUCACUGCCUGACACCCCGGCAGAGGCAGGGCUGUGCAGAAACCCCUCGCCCUCCCCACAGCUGCCUCUGCCGUCCUCUGGAGGGGAGCCCCGGGGGUUCUCUCGGACUCUAGCUCCUGGAGAGUGUUGUGAAGAGUUUGUUUUUGUUUUUUACUAGUGUUCAUAAAGAAAUACAUGUUGCUCUGUUUCUCAAGAUGUGGGGGAAACUGUCUCAUUAUCGAGGCCCUGCUAUGCUGUGUAUCUGAGCCGCACUGUAUAUAUCCUGCUGCCCGAGGCUUCAUUAAAAGUGAUUGGAAGAGCA